UGCCACUUCUGAUACUCCUUUAACACCAG
This 29-nucleotide non-coding RNA is filed under the name Mus musculus (house mouse). Lineage: Eukaryota; Metazoa; Chordata; Mammalia; Rodentia; Muridae. The record is from RNAcentral.